RNAcentral lists this ribosomal RNA (449 nucleotides) under uncultured bacterium. RNAcentral's name for it is "bacterial SSU rRNA". It matches the Rfam family "Bacterial small subunit ribosomal RNA", at positions 354 to 796 of the family's 1533-position model. The record is from RNAcentral.
GUUUCGAAUCAUUCACAAUGGGCGAAAGCCUGAUGGUGCGACGCCGCGUGAGGGAUGAAGGCCUUCGGGUUGUAAACCUCUGUCACCGGGGAAGAAACGCUUCAAGUUAAUAGCUUGAAGCCUGACUUAACCCGGAGAGGAAGCAGUGGCUAACUCUGUGCCAGCAGCCGCGGUAAUACAGAGACUGCAAGCGUUAUUCGGAUUCACUGGGCGUAAAGGGUGCGCAGGCGGCCAAGUGUGUGAGGUGUGAAAGCCCGGGGCUUAACCCCGGAAUUGCACCUCAAACUACAUGGCUAGAGCAUUGGAGAGGGUAGCAGAAUUCACGGUGUAGCAGUGAAAUGCGUAGAUAUCGUGAGGAAUACCAGAGGCGAAGGCGGCUACCUGGACAAUUGCUGACGCUCAGGCACGAAAGCGUGGGGAGCAAAAGGGAUUAGAAACCCCUGUAGUCC